AGUAAUAGUAGCUCAAAAGGAGCAUUGGUCUUGUAAAUCAAAGGUUGAGUAUUUUUACUCUUAUUACUAC
Molecule: transfer RNA, 70 nt
Filed under: Euspira pila
Lineage: Eukaryota; Metazoa; Mollusca; Gastropoda; Littorinimorpha; Naticidae
Description: tRNA-Thr
Rfam family: tRNA
About the family: Transfer RNA (tRNA) molecules are approximately 80 nucleotides in length.
Source: RNAcentral